This is a small RNA of Xanthomonas oryzae pv. oryzae, 76 nucleotides long. It matches the Rfam family "Xanthomonas sRNA sX9". NCBI's taxonomy places the organism in Bacteria, Pseudomonadati, Pseudomonadota, Gammaproteobacteria, Lysobacterales, Lysobacteraceae. The record is from Rfam.
AUGUACCACGCGUACGCUCCGGUUCCUCAGCGUCGUUCGCGCUCAUCUGACGACAGCUCGCGACGUUUUGUUAGCC